RNAcentral lists this transfer RNA (72 nucleotides) under Ictidomys tridecemlineatus (thirteen-lined ground squirrel). RNAcentral describes it as "Spermophilus tridecemlineatus (thirteen-lined ground squirrel) tRNA". It matches the Rfam family "tRNA". From Rfam's summary of the family: Transfer RNA (tRNA) molecules are approximately 80 nucleotides in length. Their secondary structure includes four short double-helical elements and three loops (D, anti-codon, and T loops). Lineage: Eukaryota; Metazoa; Chordata; Mammalia; Rodentia; Sciuridae. The record is from Rfam by way of RNAcentral.
AGGGUUGUGGCUCAGUGGUAGAGCGCUUGACUAGCAUGCAUGAGGCACUGGGUUCGGUCCCCAGCACCACUU